Haliotis rubra (blacklip abalone) is the source of this 112-nucleotide long non-coding RNA. RefSeq lists it as uncharacterized. The transcript is spliced from 4 exons. The record is from RefSeq and is a predicted model, not a curated record. Lineage: Eukaryota; Metazoa; Mollusca; Gastropoda; Lepetellida; Haliotidae.
AUUGAAAAAUAUAUGACAAUAAGUGUAUAGCAGUAUUUCGAAUGUCCAUGAAUGUAGCGCUGUAUUAGAUAUGAACUACAGCAUACCAAAGCCUACUUUUGUUGUUUUGAAA